Molecule: ribosomal RNA, 323 nt
Filed under: uncultured eukaryote
Lineage: Eukaryota
Description: partial 18S ribosomal RNA
Rfam family: Eukaryotic small subunit ribosomal RNA
Source: RNAcentral
CCCCUAGAUGUUCUGGGCCGCACGCGCGCUACACUGAACAGUUCAACAAGUCUUAACCUUGGCCGAUAGGUCUGGGUAAUCUUUGAACGCUGUUCGUGAUUGGGAUAGACCUUUGCAAUUAUGGGUCUUCAACGAGGAAUUCCUAGUAAACGCAAGUCAUCAGCUUGCAUUGAUUACGUCCCUGCCCUUUGUACACACCGCCCGUCGCACCUACCGAUUGAAUGGUCCGGUGAAUUAUUCGGACUGUAACGUGUUCAGUUCCUGGAUGCAGUUAUGGGAAGUUUUGUGAACCUUACCACUUAGAGGAAGGAGAAGUCGUANCA